UGCAGUAUAGAAUGUAAACAUCUGAAUUGCACUGAAGCUGGAUGUUUGUGGUUUGCUGAUACACGGAGGGCCACACAGGUCAAUCAUCCACAAAAGUUUGUUUAUUUCUCCUUAGGUUGCCAAAUGGGUGAGAGAGGAGCUGAGCCCUGAAGGGACACGGCAUUAUUUUGAUGUGUGGCACAUUGCCAAAAGCUCAUUGGCAGCAGUAAAGUUGGAGAACAUAAUCACGAGGACUGCCUUACUGAAAGAUGUUCGACAGCUGUCUCCACAGCAUCAGACAUUCUCCCUUGAGGCUUACCACUCCCUCAUCUUGCACUUCGCACCCAAGCACACAGGGUUUUCAUACGUUGGGAUGUAUAGCAGGCUUCUCUUAGCGGCGCUGCAUUACAAUCACAAUGCCAACCGCGAGACAGCACGGAAAAGUGAUGGGACGGAGAAGUACUGUGUGCGGU
Long non-coding RNA from Xyrauchen texanus (razorback sucker), 452 nucleotides. RefSeq lists it as uncharacterized. The record is from RefSeq and is a predicted model, not a curated record. NCBI's taxonomy places the organism in Eukaryota, Metazoa, Chordata, Actinopteri, Cypriniformes, Catostomidae. The transcript is spliced from 3 exons.